GCAAGUCGAGCGGUAGAAUUUUUUAGCUUGCUAGAAAAUUUGAGAGCGGCGAACGGGUGAGUAACACGUUGAUAUCUGCCCCCCAGUCAGGGAUAACCCAGGGAAACCUGGACUAAUACCGGAUAGUCUCUUCGGAGUAAAAAUUUAUUGCUGGGGGAGGAGUCUGCGGUCUAUCAGCUUGUUUGUGAGGUAAUAGCUCACCAAGGCUAUGACGGAUAUCUGGUCUGAGAGGAUGAUC
Molecule: ribosomal RNA, 238 nt
Filed under: uncultured bacterium
Lineage: Bacteria
Description: partial 16S ribosomal RNA
Rfam family: Bacterial small subunit ribosomal RNA
Source: RNAcentral